This 492-nucleotide ribosomal RNA is filed under the name uncultured bacterium. RNAcentral's name for it is "partial 16S ribosomal RNA". It matches the Rfam family "Bacterial small subunit ribosomal RNA", at positions 29 to 507 of the family's 1533-position model. The record is from RNAcentral.
AGUGAACGCUGGCGGUAGGCCUAACACAUGCAAGUCGAACGGCAGCACAGUAAGAGCUUGCUCUUACGGGUGGCGAGUGGCGGACGGGUGAGGAAUACAUCGGAAUCUACUUUUUCGUGGGGGAUAACGUAGGGAAACUUACGCUAAUACCGCAUACGACCUACGGGUGAAAGCAGGGGAUCUUAGGACCUUGCGCGAUUGAAUGAGCCGAUGUCGGAUUAGCUAUUUGGCGGGGUAAAGGCCCACCAAGGCGACGAUCCGUAGCUGGUCUGAGAGGAUGAUCAGCCACACUGGAACUGAGACACGGUCCAGACUCCUACGGGAGGCAGCAGUGGGGAAUAUUGGACAAUGGGCGCAAGCCUGAUCCAGCCAUACCGCGUGGGUGAAGAAGGCCUUCGGGUUGUAAAGCCCUUUUGUUGGGAAAGAAAAGCAGCAGGUUAAUACCCCGCUGUUCUGACGGUACCCAAAGAAUAAGCACCGGCUAACUUCGUG